ACCAAGACAGGCUUUUCGCCCUGGUUAUCAACAGUUACCCGUGAUGGCACCUCUAAACAAAUGGGCGUCUCAUCUGCAUUCCCCAUCUGAGCUACCUCAUAGUCAUGCGCCCUGCGCAGAGCCAGGACACUGCGUUGAUGAAGAAGGGGAGGCUACAGAGGUUACAUAAUACACCAAGGGAGCCAAGCCAGAAAGUGGCAGAGCUGGGAAUUGAACAGAGGCACCAAGCUUGGACCAAAUAAUUUGGGGGCCAUGUUUGUGUCAAAAUACUUUUUAUGUGAAUGAGAAGCCAAAUGUAAACCAUAUUACCAUAUAAUAUUACAGAGACACAUCAUGGCCUGAUUCAUAUCCCUUUAGAACCAAGAAAAUCUAUAGCAAAAACCACACUUAACAAAGUUAAGCUUAUAAGGCAGAAAAUUAGUUCUUGCACAUUAACAGUGGAACCGGGUUUCACUUUAUAUUUAGGAGGUGGUCACAGAAGUUGAGUAUGACUUGGGGAAAUUACCCUAUCUCACCCAAACUAAAAUGCCAUCAGUUGUAGGAUGCAUCAUUAUGUGCCAUUAAGAAAGAAAACACUACUAAUUAAGCUACGAUGUGCCACUGAUUUUAAGAGGCAUUCUCAAUUUCAGAGACAGUAAAGCAAUGGGGGAAAAACAUGUCUCAGAGUCAGUGAAAUAUGGCAUUUUAAACUCCUCUGGAGAAAAGACAAAACUAUUUUGGCAGUCUGGAAGCAAUGCUAUAUCUAUUCAACUGCGGCCUCAAUAACCAUUUUUCUUGACAAAGGACUAGGUACUUCUUAGAUACAUUUGCUCAAAGGUAUACUAUGACUGCUAAUGCUUUUUCUAUCCAGUAUGAAAUGGACAGGAAGCCAGGUAACUCAGGAAGUGUGCUUCCUCUCACUAUUCUUAGUUUGCAGAGGCACAUGGUACACUACUGAGGUAGCCCUGUUCAGCUAGAAGGUGCACUGGACCAAACACUGCACAAGCCUCAUUUUGCUUCAUCCACAUAGGUCAUACAUCGAGUCUUGUUACUCAGAGCUGAUAGAGGAAGAAUGGAAGCUGUGAGGUAAAAGCAGUUGCCUAAGGUCACACAUUUAGCACUGCAAAGAGGGAGAUUUCAAAACUCCAAAGCCCAUAAUCCUUCUACCUCUUAAAUACCCCGUGGAAUGUACACUGAAAAUCCCACUUCACAAUGUUCCCAGCUGGAUGGACGCUGAACUGCUUUACUUGUAGUACCUGCAGAGGUGCCUCCGUGGAGCUGCCACUCGUCAGAAUUCUGAGACUCCUCCUCCCCUUCCAACCGGGUGAUCAUGUCUGGCUUAGGGAAUGGGAAUUCUGUUGAUAGGAAAUAAAAUAGGUAACAGCUGUGUAUUACUGUCCUGGAGCACUACCAACUCUUUAAAAUACUUAAGAGCCACUCUCCCCUUCUUUGUGAAAAACAAGGGGAAAAAGGCUCAGGGAUACUUAAAGAAAAAAGAUAAUGGAAAAUAGGUCUGUCCAAGGGAAUGGGUAGAUCUCUCCUAAUGAGGGAUGGUAUUGGCACCAAUAAUAAAAGAACUGCACUUAGCAGGCAAGAGGGUGAAUGCAGCUGCUGAUCCAAUUAA
Molecule: non-coding RNA, 1603 nt
Organism: Macaca mulatta (Rhesus monkey)
Lineage: Eukaryota; Metazoa; Chordata; Mammalia; Primates; Cercopithecidae
Source: RefSeq, a predicted model, not a curated record